Molecule: ribosomal RNA, 575 nt
Filed under: Forsteropsalis inconstans
Lineage: Eukaryota; Metazoa; Arthropoda; Arachnida; Opiliones; Neopilionidae
Description: partial large subunit ribosomal RNA
Rfam family: Eukaryotic large subunit ribosomal RNA
Source: RNAcentral
CCCAUACCCGGCCGCCGCGUCCGAAAAGCCUCGUGUUUUAAGCCGCGGUGAGUAGGAGGGGCGCGGAGGCGAGCGUCGAAGGUGCCGGGCGUAAGCCCGCCUGGAGCCGCCUCCGGCGCAGAUCUUGGUGGUAGUAGCAAAUACUCAAGUGAGAACCUUGAGGACUGAGGUGGAGAAGGGUUCCAUGUGAACAGCAGUUGAACAUGGGUCAGUCGGUCCUAAGGGAUAGGAGAAAUCCGUUCCGAGGCGGGACCUAAUUUAUUAUGAAAGUCCCGCUGAUGACCGAAAGGGAAUCGGGUUAAUAUUCCCGAACCCGGACGCGGAGAUCGUCCUCUUCGGAGGUACAUUGCGGUAACGCAAACGAGCUCGGAGACGUCGACGGGAGCACCGGGAAGAGUUAUCUUUUCUUUGUAAGGAUUCGACUCCCUGGAAUCGGCUCGCCCGGAGAUAGGGAUGGUGUUUCCGUAAAGCACCGCGCCUCUUGCGGUGUCCGGAUCGCUCCCGUCGGCCCUUGAAAAUCCGAGUGAGAGAUAGUGAUUUUCGUGCCGGACCGUACCCAUAUCCGCAGCAGGUCU